This 490-nucleotide ribosomal RNA is filed under the name uncultured bacterium. RNAcentral describes it as "bacterial SSU rRNA". It matches the Rfam family "Bacterial small subunit ribosomal RNA", at positions 29 to 507 of the family's 1533-position model. The record is from RNAcentral.
AGUGAACGCUGGCGGCAGGCCUAAUACAUGCAAGUCGAACGGCAGCACAGUGGAGCUUGCUCCAUGGGUGGCGAGUGGCGGACGGGUGAGGAAUACAUGGGAAUCUGCCCAGUCGUGGGGGAUAACGUAUGGAAACGUACGCUAAUACCGCAUGCGCCCUUCGGGGGAGAGUCGGGGACCGCAAGGCCUGACGCGAUUGGAUGAGCCCAUGUUCGAUUAGCUAGUUGGCGGGGUAACGGCCCACCAAGGCGACGAUCGAUAGCUGGUCUGAGAGGAUGAUCAGCCACACUGGAACUGAGACACGGUCCAGACUCCUACGGGAGGCAGCAGUAGGGAAUAUUGGACAAUGGGCGCAAGCCUGAUCCAGCCAUGCCGCGUGAGUGAAGAAGGCCCUCGGGUUGUAAAGCUCUUUUGUUGGGGAAGAAAAGCAGUUGGUUAAUACCCGAUUGUUCUGACGGUACCCAAAGAAUAAGCACCGGCUAACUUCGUG